GGUUCACCCUUUAUUCACAUUGACAAAAAUGAAAUGCAGUUGUACUGAAGAUAGAGGUCCAGAUAGAAUCACUUCUGGUGCUCAACAUCAAAAUUAUGUACCUGAUUGUUUAGGCACAUGUUUGUUGCAUCAAUUAAUGCAAGACCCUAUGGAAACCCUCCACUUCAAAGGUCGUAGGAGCACCAUGGUUCCCUUGUGUCAGUAGUGCAAAAUCUGUAACAGGAGGGACAAAUGCAACUAUACAGAAAUGCAAACACUGUUAACAAGUGAAAUUUAUUUGUUCAAACACUGUGGCAAUUUUUGCAUACCUUCCAACCAUCCUGAUUUUCACUAGACUGUACCGAUUUUGACAGUUCAGCCUGCAGUCCCUGAUUCUUAUUAAACGUCUUGCAAUGAAGGCCAGAAAGAAUACAAUGUUUCCCAAACUUAAUUAGAUAAGUAGGCUUUUGGCAGAGAGCCCAGAAUACUCAGCACCUGCACUUUGAUACAAUUGUUACUAAUAAGAUAUGCAGGUCUCUUGGGGGAACUGAGACUAGCAGCUUAAGUCUAUGGCCAGAUGAUAUGGAUUCUCUGCAGAUGGAGAAUCCGUUGCCCAGCUGCUCCCCUUCUCUUCUGCAAGCAGGGCAGAAAUGUGAAAUGUCUUGUUUCAGUCCUGAAAACUGCCACGUCUGCCUGCAACCGAGUAGAGACAAUGUUUCUGGUGCAGGAGCAGCGGUGGAUGUGGAAUCGUGUGGCUCUAGCCUUGAAGGAGUACUAAAAUCCCCCGUACCAAAAGUCCCACUAAACUUCCUGGCAUUGCUCUUCCUCCCCGCGAUGUGAAUUAGUAAAAAAAAUAAAACCUUUCAAAAAUGUGACCCUUAAAUGCAGAGAUGCACAGCGGAGCUCCCAGUCACCAUCUUCCGUUUCUUAAUAUUGUCUUCAGGUCUCAAUGCUGACUUGCGCAUGUGCAGUUGAAGAUUCCUGACUCGGCCCAACUGUGCAUGCUACUGCAGGCUUUGUGUUAGAAAAAGACCCUUAUUAACAAAACUGUAAUAACACAUAAAACAUGACCCUAAACCCCCAGAAAUAUGUUCAUACUUGCUGAAUUUUGUAAAAUAUUUCUAUACAUCAGCAGCCUUUUUACGUUGUAAUUGUAUUUAUAUAGCAAAUACGCUCGGUAAAAUGCAAUAGUUACUAUUCAAGUGGGUAGAUAAAUGGGUCAAAAGCCAUUCAUGUGUCUCUACAGAAUGUUUCUCAUACAAAAUAAAACAUUUGUUGCCAAGAAAGAGUUCAUUUGUGGGUGCUGGUCGGAAAAAUUAAAAACCUCAAAUUUUAUUUUUACUGGUCCUUUAAGGCAGUGUAAAGGUCAUUGCCUAGCAAAUUGUCAGAUUUUUCCAGUAGGUGGUAGCAGUUAGUCAUAUUGCGAUAUUUAUUUUAGUGAUUUGUAGUUUAUGUUGAAGGAGGAGCCCUUGAAUACAAAGCGCAAUAGCAAGUAGAAAGCAAUAGACAAAGGCAAGAAGAGAGACCCUUCAGACAGCGUGGGCAGUUUCUUGAACUAAAGAACAAGUAUAAGAUAAGCGCCAUACCUAAACUGGUCAUAGUGAAGCAAAAUGGAGACGUCAUUACAGACAAGGGACG
This is an RNA transcript of Xenopus laevis (African clawed frog), 1617 nucleotides long. It is a transcript of the gene named nucleoredoxin-like protein 2, with no coding region annotated. The transcript is spliced from 2 exons. The record is from RefSeq and is a predicted model, not a curated record. Lineage: Eukaryota; Metazoa; Chordata; Amphibia; Anura; Pipidae.